UACGUAGGGUGCGAGCGUUGUCCGGAAUUAUUGGGCGUAAAGAGCUCGUAGGCGGCUUGUCACGUCGGGUGUGAAAGCCCGGGGCUUAACCCCGGGUCUGCAUUCGAUACGGGCAGGCUAGAGUGUGGUAGGGGAGAUCGGAAUUCCUGGUGUAGCGGUGAAAUGCGCAGAUAUCAGGAGGAACACCGGUGGCGAAGGCGGAUCUCUGGGCCAUUACUGACGCUGAGGAGCGAAAGCGUGGGGAGCAAACAGG
This 253-nucleotide ribosomal RNA is filed under the name uncultured bacterium. RNAcentral's name for it is "partial 16S ribosomal RNA". It matches the Rfam family "Bacterial small subunit ribosomal RNA", at positions 524 to 776 of the family's 1533-position model. The record is from RNAcentral.